GGUUAAGCGACUAAGCGUACACGGUGGAUGCCCUGGCAGUCAGAGGCGAUGAAGGACGUGCUAAUCUGCGAAAAGCGCCGGCGAGGUGAUAUGAACCUUUGACCCGGCGAUGUCCGAAUGGGGAAACCCAGUGUGAUUCGUCACACUAUCGUUAACUGAAUACAUAGGUUAAC
RNAcentral lists this ribosomal RNA (173 nucleotides) under Enterobacter kobei. RNAcentral describes it as "partial 23S ribosomal RNA". It matches the Rfam family "Bacterial large subunit ribosomal RNA", at positions 1 to 175 of the family's 2925-position model. Lineage: Bacteria; Pseudomonadati; Pseudomonadota; Gammaproteobacteria; Enterobacterales; Enterobacteriaceae. The record is from RNAcentral.